RNAcentral lists this ribosomal RNA (465 nucleotides) under Vreelandella stevensii. RNAcentral describes it as "partial 16S ribosomal RNA". It matches the Rfam family "Bacterial small subunit ribosomal RNA", at positions 338 to 795 of the family's 1533-position model. The record is from RNAcentral. Lineage: Bacteria; Pseudomonadati; Pseudomonadota; Gammaproteobacteria; Oceanospirillales; Halomonadaceae.
CCUACGGGUGGCAGCAGUGGGGAAUAUUGGACAAUGGGGGCAACCCUGAUCCAGCCAUGCCGCGUGUGUGAAGAAGGCCCUCGGGUUGUAAAGCACUUUCAGUGAGGAAGAACGCCUGGUGGUUAAUACCCAUCAGGAAAGACAUCACUCACAGAAGAAGCACCGGCUAACUCCGUGCCAGCAGCCGCGGUAAUACGGAGGGUGCGGGCGUUAAUCGGAAUUACUGGGCGUAAAGCGCGCGUAGGUGGCUUGAUAAGCCGGUUGUGAAAGCCCCGGGCUCAACCUGGGAACGGCAUCCGGAACUGUCAAGCUAGAGUGCAGGAGAGGAAGGUAGAAUUCCCGGUGUAGCGGUGAAAUGCGUAGAGAUCGGGAGGAAUACCAGUGGCGAAGGCGGCCUUCUGGACUGACACUGACACUGAGGUGCGAAAGCGUGGGUAGCAAACAGGAUUAGAUACCCUGGUAGUC